CGGGCAAGGCUAGUGCUAUACAUGCAAGUCGAGCGGACAGAUGGGAGCUUGCUCCCUGAUGUUAGCGGCGGACGGGUGAGUAACACGUGGGUAACCUGCCUGUAAGACUGGGAUAACUCCGGGAAACCGGGGCUAAUACCGGAUGCUUGUUUGAACCGCAUGGUUCAAACAUAAAAGGUGGCUUCGGCUACCACUUACAGAUGGACCCGCGGCGCAUUAGCUAGUUGGUGAGGUAACGGCUCACCAAGGCAACGAUGCGUAGCCGACCUGAGAGGGUGAUCGGCCACACUGGGACUGAGACACGGCCCAGACUCCUACGGGAGGCAGCAGUAGGGAAUCUUCCGCAAUGGACGAAAGUCUGACGGAGCAACGCCGCGUGAGUGAUGAAGGUUUUCGGAUCGUAAAGCUCUGUUGUUAGGGAAGAACAAGUACCGUUCGAAUAGGGCGGUACCUUGACGGUACCUAACCAGAAAGCCACGGCUAACUACGUGCCAGCAGCCGCGGUAAUACGUAGGUGGCAAGCGUUGUCCGGAAUUAUUGGGCGUAAAGGGCUCGCAGGCGGUUUCUUAAGUCUGAUGUGAAAGCCCCCGGCUCAACCGGGGAGGGUCAUUGGAAACUGGGGAACUUGAGUGCAGAAGAGGAGAGUGGAAUUCCACGUGUAGCGGUGAAAUGCGUAGAGAUGUGGAGGAACACCAGUGGCGAAGGCGACUCUCUGGUCUGUAACUGACGCUGAGGAGCGAAAGCGUGGGGAGCGAACAGGAUUAGAUACCCUGGUAGUCCACGCCGUAAACGAUGAGUGCUAAGUGUUUAGGGGGUUUCCGCCCCUUAGUGCUGCAGCUAACGCAUUAAGCACUCCGCCUGGGGGAGUACGGUCGCAAGACUGAAACUCAAAGGAAUUGACGGGGGCCCGCACAAGCGGUGGAAGCAUGUGGUUUAAUUCGAAGCAACGCGAAGAACCUUACCAGGUCUUGACAUCCUCUGACAAUCCUAGAAGAUAGGACGUCCCCUUCGGGGGCAGAAUGACAGGUGGGGGCAGGGGUGUCCUCACCUCUGUCCGGGAAGAUGUGGGGUUAAAUCCCGCAACGAGCGCAACCCUUGAUCUUAGUUGCCACCAUUUAGUUGGGCACCCUAAGGGGAUGCCGUGAAAACCGAGAGAGAGGGGGGGGGGGGGGGGGACAAAAUAUAUUGGCGCCCUUGUAAAGGGGGGGGGCCCCCGGGUUUAAGGGGGAGAAAAAAGGGGGGGAACCCCCGGGGGGGGGGGAUCC
RNAcentral lists this ribosomal RNA (1265 nucleotides) under Bacillus subtilis. Its description in RNAcentral is "partial 16S ribosomal RNA". It matches the Rfam family "Bacterial small subunit ribosomal RNA", at positions 36 to 1269 of the family's 1533-position model. The record is from RNAcentral. Lineage: Bacteria; Bacillati; Bacillota; Bacilli; Caryophanales; Bacillaceae.